Molecule: long non-coding RNA, 528 nt
Organism: Mauremys reevesii (Reeves's turtle)
Lineage: Eukaryota; Metazoa; Chordata; Testudines; Geoemydidae
Exons: 4
Source: RefSeq, a predicted model, not a curated record
AGCCGUGUUGCCAUGUUUCUGUUGCUGGAAGCGGCCCUGCAAAGCGCCCGUCUGAGCUGCAGCGAGCUGGGCUGGCGGAGGCUGAGCGGCUCCGCAGCGGGGCCGGGAGCCAGCAAUGGUGGGGAGGCUGGUUACAUUUUGACUCCAUUCUUGCAACAAGCGCUUCGCAUCCACCCGCGCCAAGUGUUUCGCCCUGGAGACGGGAAGCAGCUGCUGCUUUUUCCUGCAUAGUCUUUUCCUGUCCGUCUCCCUCAUUCUUUGGGAAAGAAUGCUGCAUAGACUCAGUUGGUUCUUGUCAAGAUGUUUGGCUUGCAACAAUCAAUAGCAGGAUAACACCAGAGGAACUUCCAUGGGAACAGGGAUCUAUGUGUGUGAAAGGGCAAGACUAGAGAGCCGUGCACCAUCACCUGCCCCAACACCCAAGGAAUCCACUCAGAAGUUAAUUCAGCCUACGGCCAUAACCUGGUCUUUUGCUUCGGCUCCUUCCCGGACUGCCCUGGCAUCCCCCUCGCAGAGGCUGGCUCAGAU